UACGUAGGGGGCUAGCGUUGUUCGGAAUCAUUGGGCGUAAAGCGCGUGUAGGCGGUCCGGUAAGUCCGCUGUGAAAGUCGAGGGCUCAACCCUCGAAUGCCGGUGGAUACUGUCGAGCUAGAGUGCGGAAGAGGCGAGUGGAAUUCCUGGUGUAGCGGUGAAAUGCGCAGAUAUCAGGAGGAACACCUAUUGCGAAGGCAGCUCGCUGGGACGUUACUGACGCUGAGACGCGAAAGCGUGGGGAGCAAACAGG
This 253-nucleotide ribosomal RNA is filed under the name uncultured bacterium. Its description in RNAcentral is "partial 16S ribosomal RNA". It matches the Rfam family "Bacterial small subunit ribosomal RNA", at positions 524 to 776 of the family's 1533-position model. The record is from RNAcentral.